Long non-coding RNA from Entelurus aequoreus (snake pipefish), 1158 nucleotides. RefSeq lists it as uncharacterized. NCBI's taxonomy places the organism in Eukaryota, Metazoa, Chordata, Actinopteri, Syngnathiformes, Syngnathidae. The transcript is spliced from 5 exons. The record is from RefSeq and is a predicted model, not a curated record.
AGCAUGUAGAGCACACUCCAGGCCUGAAGGGGCAACAGUGAGAGCUGAGGGCUGAACAUCUCCACCUGCUUUGAUUGAAUUCACCUGUUCACCUGCUCAGAGCACAUGCUUCAACAUGUUUGAGCGUCACUCCUUUUGACAUGCUGCUAAGAGGAAGGAAGACAGCUCCUGUGUGGACUCAGAAGACGCAACUGGAUUACCUGCUAGUCCAGGAGCCAAAGGUGGACCUGGAGUUAAAGACGAGCCUGGUCCCAGAGGUCAUGCCGGCAUGUCCGGUGACCCUUGACCUUUGGGAAGCAAAGGAGAGAGAGGAGCGAUGGGCGUUCCAGGUGCUCAAGGUCUGAGUGGAACCAAAGGAGACAAGGUGUCCCCCAGGGUUGGGUGCUUGGUCCACUUCUCUUCAUUGUACAUGCUCCCCCUCGGUAACAUCAUCCGCCGCCAUCACCUCCAAUUCCACUGCUACGCAGAUGAUGUCCAGCUACAUCUCCACAAAAUCUCUCCACCCUGACCGACUGCCUCACUGAAAUCAAAUCAUGGCUGCACUCCAACUUCCUCAAACUCAACUGACAAAUCUGACAUGCUCAUCGUGGGCCCCAAAUCCCUCACCAAAACUGCUCACAACUCUACUCUGUCCCCAUCCACUCACAUCCGCAACCUCGGAGUCAUUCUGGACAAUAAGCUCUCUUUUCAACACCGGGUCAACCACAUCACAAGAACUGCUUUCUUCCACCUCCAAAAUAUUGCCCGUCUCCGUCCAUCCUUCUCUGCCGCUGAAACCCUGAUCCAUGCCUUCAUCACCUCCACACUUGACUACUGUAACGGCAUCCUCUACGACUCUUCUUGCAAAAUUCUCAAACUCCAAUACAUUCAAAACUCUGCCGCCCGCCUGCUCAGCCACACCCGCUCCCGUGAGCACAUCACCCCAGUCCUCCAGAAACUCCACUGGCUCCCCAGUCCUCACCGGAUCCACUUUAAAUCCUCCUCCUCACCCACAAAGGCCUCCACAAGCAGGCCCCCUGCUACCUCACCAACCUGCUUCACCUCCAUACCUUCACGCAGCCUCCGCUCCUCUGAUGCCAACCUGCUCUCCCCACCAUGCAGAACCAAGCUUCGGACCUGGGGUGACAGCUUUCUCCAUCGCUGCUCCCACCCUCUGGA